This 112-nucleotide ribosomal RNA is filed under the name Kitasatospora sp. SolWspMP-SS2h. RNAcentral describes it as "partial 16S ribosomal RNA". It matches the Rfam family "Bacterial small subunit ribosomal RNA", at positions 19 to 133 of the family's 1533-position model. Lineage: Bacteria; Bacillati; Actinomycetota; Actinomycetes; Kitasatosporales; Streptomycetaceae. The record is from RNAcentral.
CUGGCUCAGGACGAACGCUGGCGGCGUGCUUAACACAUGCAAGUCGAACGGUGAAGCCCUUCGGGGUGGAUCAGUGGCGAACGGGUGAGUAACACGUGGGGAAUCUGCCCUG